AAACAUAAUAAACUAUAUUCUGAUAAGAUAUAAAAGAGAAAUCAUAUGUUUA
This 52-nucleotide transfer RNA is filed under the name Unionicola parkeri. Its description in RNAcentral is "tRNA-Ile". Lineage: Eukaryota; Metazoa; Arthropoda; Arachnida; Trombidiformes; Unionicolidae. The record is from RNAcentral.